AGUGAACGCUGGCGGUAGGCCUAACACAUGCAAGUCGAACGGCAGCACAGUAAGAGCUUGCUCUUACGGGUGGCGAGUGGCGGACGGGUGAGGAAUACAUCGGAAUCUACUUUUUCGUGGGGGAUAACGUAGGGAAACUUACGCUAAUACCGCAUACGACCUACGGGUGAAAGCAGGGGAUCUUCGGACCUUGCGCGAUUGAAUGAGCCGAUGCCGGAUUAGCUAGUUGGCGGGGUAAAGGCCCACCAAGGCGACGAUCCGUAGCUGGUCUGAGAGGAUGAUCAGCCACACUGGAACUGAGACACGGUCCAGACUCCUACGGGAGGCAGCAGUGGGGAAUAUUGGACAAUGGGCGCAAGCCUGAUCCAGCCAUACCGCGUGAGUGAAGAAGGCCUUCGGGUUGUAAAGCCCUUUUGUUGGGAAAGAACAACAGCAGGUUAAUCCCCCGCUGUUCUGACGGUACCCAAAGAAUAAGCCCCGGCUAACUUCGUG
RNAcentral lists this ribosomal RNA (492 nucleotides) under uncultured bacterium. Its description in RNAcentral is "partial 16S ribosomal RNA". It matches the Rfam family "Bacterial small subunit ribosomal RNA", at positions 29 to 507 of the family's 1533-position model. The record is from RNAcentral.